CCUACGUGAGGCAGCAGUAGGGAAUUUUGCGCAAUGGGGGAAACCCUGACGCAGCAACGCCGCGUGAUCGAUGAAGCCCUUCGGGGUGUAAAGAGCUGUCAGUGGGGACGAAACCUGACGGUACCCACAGAGGAAGCACCGGCUAACUCCGGUCCAGCAGCGGAGGUAAAACGUGGGGUGCAAGCCGUGUCCGGAAUCAUUUGGCGUAAAGAGUUCGUAGGUGGCACGGUAAAUCUGGUGGUAAAUGCGGAUGGUCAACUUCCGUAGGGCACUGGAUACUGGCGAGCUUGAAUUAGGUAGAGGUAAGGGGAAUUCCAGGUGAAGCGGUGAAAUGCGUAGAUAUAAGGAGGAACAUCGAUGGCGUAAGCACUUUACUGGGCCGUAAUUGACGCUGAGGAACGAAAGCCGGGGUAGCAAAUGGGAUUAGAUACCCCUGUAGUC
This 441-nucleotide ribosomal RNA is filed under the name uncultured bacterium. RNAcentral describes it as "partial 16S ribosomal RNA". It matches the Rfam family "Bacterial small subunit ribosomal RNA", at positions 338 to 795 of the family's 1533-position model. The record is from RNAcentral.